GGCGGGGCGAGGAGUCGUGCGGGUAGUUGGGACGGAUGGUGGUGUGUGGUUUUAUCGCGAGUCGUUUGAGGAAAGACAGCUCAGAGACUGAGGUUUUAGCCCAAGCGCUACAUGUUUGGAAGACGGCAAUCAACAGGCUCAGAAUACCGAAAAAGCGUCACAAGAUUAUUUGACAACGUCUUCCGAAGGCACUCCGUUCCCAGUGACGAUGCCGCCCCCUGCUGGCAAGACACUAGCGACAUUAGGCGGCACCGACGAGCAACGCUGGACAUCGCCCUCAACAUCGCCCGUCUGCCCGACGUGGAAGAAGUGGAC
Long non-coding RNA from Amphibalanus amphitrite, 315 nucleotides. RefSeq lists it as uncharacterized. The transcript is spliced from 3 exons. Lineage: Eukaryota; Metazoa; Arthropoda; Thecostraca; Balanomorpha; Balanidae. The record is from RefSeq and is a predicted model, not a curated record.